UUCGUCACACUAUCAUUAACUGAAUCCAUAGGUUAAUGAGGCGAACCGGGGGAACUGAAACAUCUAAGUACCCCGAGGAAAAGAAAUCAACCGAGAUUCCCCCAGUAGCGGCGAGCGAACGGGGAGCAGCCCAGAGCCUGAAUCAGUGUGUGUGUUAGUGGAAGCGUCUGGAAAGGCGCGCGAUACAGGGUGACAGCCCCGUACACAAAAAUGCACAUGCUGUGAGCUCGAUGAGUAGGGCGGGACACGUGGUAUCCUGUCUGAAUAUGGGGGGACCAUCCUCCAAGGCUAAAUACUCCUGACUGACCGAUAGUGAACCAGUACCGUGAGGGAAAGGCGAAAAGAACCCCGGCGAGGGGAGUGAAAAAGAACCUGAAACCGUGU
This 384-nucleotide ribosomal RNA is filed under the name Escherichia coli. Its description in RNAcentral is "partial 23S ribosomal RNA". It matches the Rfam family "Bacterial large subunit ribosomal RNA", at positions 139 to 561 of the family's 2925-position model. Lineage: Bacteria; Pseudomonadati; Pseudomonadota; Gammaproteobacteria; Enterobacterales; Enterobacteriaceae. The record is from RNAcentral.